This 753-nucleotide long non-coding RNA is filed under the name Homo sapiens (human). RNAcentral's name for it is "non-protein coding GMDS-DT:83". Lineage: Eukaryota; Metazoa; Chordata; Mammalia; Primates; Hominidae. The record is from RNAcentral.
GCCGCCACCGCCUCAGGGAAGAGGAAGGAGGCCGCGGCUUCGCGUCCCGCCUCUCGCCUGGCUGGCCGUGGGGGGCCUGGACGCAGUGGCCUCCCGAAUCUCCCAGGACCCUAAUAUCGCCCGAGGAUGCUGGGAGGAACGCUGAGCCGACCUCUCCGUUAGGCUGAAGAUUGCACAAACCAUGCUAAUGGCCAGCAUGGAUGGAGGGAGCGUGUGAGAUGUGUGGGGCAGCGUGCUGCAUCUCAGCCAACUCCAGGAGAUGGAACGAAGUCUGUUUGUGGAAACACCCUUCCCCUCUGUUUACUUGGACCUGAUUUUGAAAGUAACAAGUCACUUUAUUUGGGCUGGAGGAAAAAGCACUAAACCAGAUGUUGAGGUGACCGGGAUUCCUGGAAGACAUUCUUCUCUCCAACGAGACACAUGAUGCAUGAAGUAGGAGCCCCUGGCAAGGAGCCCAGGCUGCCAUGGCCUCGCUCGCUCCUGCUUCCCGGCAUGGCCCCGAGGCUAGCUGCCUCUGUACUGCCUGAGCAUCGUCCCCUGGCGUGUCACCAGACUACCCACUACCUGUGCUUGCACCUGCAGGUGGGCAGUUCAGUCGUUGCAGGCUGAAGCUCCCUGUCACAGGAGUCCAUCAGCACUGGAGUUUACCAAAUGGCCCAGUCCAGGAAGCAUGCUCAUGGCAAUACCCGGAGUCUCCACUGCAAGACCAGAGUGACGGAGGCAGCAGAGCUCCUCAGCAGGCCAGGAGUCUCC